Molecule: long non-coding RNA, 3168 nt
Filed under: Podarcis lilfordi (Lilford's wall lizard)
Lineage: Eukaryota; Metazoa; Chordata; Lepidosauria; Squamata; Lacertidae
Source: RNAcentral
AUCCUAGGAGGCAAACGCCACAGCCAUGAUCACCAUCAGCAGGGAAACUCACAACAUCAUGCCCCCCCCAAUUCAUACCAUGAGUUGUGCAAAGCAAGUACUAUGAAAAUAGGGUGAUAAAGGGCAGAAAUAUUUAGAGGGAAGCUGUGUGUUUAUCUGCUGAUUUUCCUCUUUUCCACUGCAACCUUUAAAGGCCAGCAACACGAUCCCAUACUAAUGUCAACCAAUGAAUCCAGUGUUUCAGGUAAAUAAAUAACAGUACUUGGUAAAAGUUGGAAACUGUUACAGAUACAGGAUCCUAGUUAGGAAAUAACUUGGCAAUUUUCUUCCUUUUUUUUUUUUUAAUGAACUGUUUGUUACAGGUAGAGAAGGAGUCACAGUCAGGAAAUGUUGACAACCUCAUUAAAAACACAAGAGCCACCACAGAGUCUCCAGAAAGAAAGAAGAAGAUUCAUUGUGCGACUGUAUGGCUGUGUGUACUUUAUCUAUUGGGUUUUCUUUUUCCCCAUUGCAACCUUUAAGGGCUAGGAUUGUCAAACUCAACUGCGAAUUCCCAGCCAGCCCUGCUUCUGCACCUUUAACAACCUUACAAAUUGUAGAAAUCAGCUGGGGUAAUUGUACAGCAUGUGAAUCAAUAUGAUACCUUGCUAAGGCUCACCUGCCACCUUCAUUAAAUAUAUUUAGGCACUAGGCAGAACCAUUCCUCUUCUCCUAGAUCUUUGACUCAUUAAAUAAUCUAUGGUCUUUUAAACAGCAUUUGUGUGGGGAAGGGUAUUAGGUUUUUUGUUAUGUAUUUUUGUGUUUUUAUAUUGUAAACUGCCCUGUGAUCCUCGGAUGAACGUUUAGAAAUUUAAUAAAUGAACCAGGAUUAUAAGAGGACACAGCAGUAAAAGUUUGUGACCCCAUUAAACAAGAGCCUUGUUCGGGGGGGGGGGGGGAGUUAUGAUUUCUAACCUUAUUUCACUUAAUAAACUAUCCACUCAAUGGGCAUAAGUUAAGUUACUUGUGAAUUCUUGCCUUUCUAAAUAGAGUGCGAUCUCAUAAUAAAGAGGAUAUUUCUUCCUUUAAUUUUCCCUUUUCAAUUUUCCUUUUCAAUUUCAGGUUUGUUGGAUGAGGAAGUUGUAGCCAUAGCAUCCUCAAAAGUAAUGAAAUUAAAACUAAAUACCUGAUAGGAUACCGUACCGUAUCAAUAUUGCCUAAAUAAUAUUUCUGUUGAUGGUGUGGCCUUUAAUAGCUAUAGUUUUCAAGCAUUCUGGAGCUUGAAUGAAAAUAGAAAGCCCUUAACUCAACAUGUUGAACAUGUUGUUUUUUUAAAAAAAAUUGCACAUAGUCCUUUUUUGAUUUAAGAAAGAAAACAAAGUCCUAGUAUUCAUAUUUUGAUAAAAGUGUCUUGAAUGCAAUAUAUAAAAACUGUCAUGGGCAGGGGGGGAUGGUACUCCACAUUGUCACACACACAAAAAUCACUUAAUCUUUGUUGACUAACCAGAUUAUUUUCAAGCUAUGCUUCCCCCCCCCAAAAAAAGAAGUCUUGGUAUAAUGAAUAUUCUUUUCUGUAACCAUUAUUAUAUUCAAACUCUGUAGCUUUGAGAAAAGAUAGAAGUAAAGAGAAACACAUACUAUGUUUAAGUCAAGGACAGACUUAAUUUAGCAGUCUUCAUGAAGACUUUAACUUUUUGUGUUUUCCAUACAGCCAUCAAAGAGAAAUCUUGCUUUGUCAGGAACCUUUUUUUUUUUUUUUUUAAAGGCUAUGGAAACAGAGCUCCAUUUACUUCUGAAACUCCACUGGGCAUGGCUAUCAAGCACAUACUAGCUAGAUCCAAAGGGUUUUCCAUGUGUUGAGGACUUUCCAAGGAACUCAGCUCCACCAUGCCAUAUCAAAGCUCAGCUUUAAGUUCAGGAGGAUUACGCUGGGGCAGUAUUUGAUUUGUGCACAGGGCUCCCACUGAAAGUAAUGAACCCUCUGCAAGCACUUGAUCCACUAGGUGGAUGGAUCUUGGCUAUUUAGCUAUGGCUUGUGACAGUGGUGAGUGAGCAUUGCAAAAUAACACUGGGCAAUUGCAGGCUAGACCAGCAGUUAUUUUCCACUCGUUUUUAUGAUAAAUAAUAACAGCAUAACAAAUAAAGAGAAAAUAGGUAUCUAAUAGAACUGACAUUGUACGUUAUUGACCCAGGCUGGCAAUAACAAAAUCUGUUGUUAUUGCAGGUGCCUUUGUUUGUGAUCCCUGCAGAGAGAGUAAGCAUAACCACCCUUCCCUGUUGUUUCUUUCUGAUUUAUCUAGAACUCUGAACAAUUUGUUAAUCACAGGAUAUUAUUUAAUCAGCAGGGCAAAUAGUAUGUGGGUGUUAAAAAGUAUUUCUGAACAAUACAUAAUUGAGCUGGGAGAAGCAAAGCAAAACAGAAUAAAAAAGAGCUGAACUGGGUGGUUAAUUUUUGUGUUAAGCUUUUUGCAUGUUAGUGGCUGCUUCAAACACUCUCAGUUCCCUGCCCAGAAAGUACUUUCAUGGAGGCAGGGUAGCUUGUAAAGUGUGAGGAUCACAUGUACAUUGUGUGUGUGUGUGUGUGUGUGUGUGUCUGUGUUCGUGCGCGUGUGUGUGUGUGUAAGUGUAAUACUUGCUUGGCAUCUCAGCAUGAGAACACAGCGAUGAUUUAAUGAUCAUUAUCUGUUAUCUUCAUGUGCAGAAUCUGAAUCUGAUAUUUCAGGCACACUGGCGGAGGAAGAAGGGGCAGAGGGAGAUCAUCGCCCCCGGCACCACGAUUCCGGUGGGGUGCCAUUGUGGCUGCCCCCACCCCACACUGGGCGCCAUGCCCCCAGGACAUGCGCCAUGCCCCUGCCUGCUCUACGCCCCCCGGUGCCGGAGCAUGAAGCUCUGCCACUGGUCAGACAGAUGGACUGGCUUAUGUGGAGCACCCUGAGUAAACCUAUUUGCAAAGGUGACCUGCAGGCUCUCAAGUAGUGAUAGGAUACCCCACAGUUGCAGCAGGUUACCUGAGCCGUAAAGAUGUUUGCUGUGCCUUGGAAGGUGGAUUUCCACCUUGAGGAGAUGUCAGCUGCUUCCUGCUGCAAUGCUUCUUGAGCACAUGUACUCUUUCUGUGGAAAGGUUCUCUUUCUCCAUUUGUAUGGCAAGUCUUUCAGGCAUUUCAUUUGCUUGAGCAUUGCACGCCUGGC